UACGAAGGGGGCUAGCGUUGCUCGGAAUCACUGGGCGUAAAGGGCGCGUAGGCGGCCGAUCAAGUCGGGGGUGAAAGCCUGUGGCUCAACCACAGAAUUGCCUCGAUACUGGUUGGCUUGAGACCGGAAGAGGUAAGUGGAACUGCGAGUGUAGAGGUGAAAUUCGUAGAUAUUCGCAAGAACACCAGUGGCGAAGGCGGCUUACUGGUCCGGUUCUGACGCUGAGGCGCGAAAGCGUGGGGAGCAAACAGG
This 252-nucleotide ribosomal RNA is filed under the name uncultured bacterium. Its description in RNAcentral is "partial 16S ribosomal RNA". It matches the Rfam family "Bacterial small subunit ribosomal RNA", at positions 524 to 776 of the family's 1533-position model. The record is from RNAcentral.